This 253-nucleotide ribosomal RNA is filed under the name uncultured bacterium. RNAcentral's name for it is "partial 16S ribosomal RNA". It matches the Rfam family "Bacterial small subunit ribosomal RNA", at positions 524 to 776 of the family's 1533-position model. The record is from RNAcentral.
UACGGGGGGGGCAAGCGUUGUUCGGAAUUACUGGGCGUAAAGGGCUCGUAGGUGGCCAACUAAGUCAGACGUGAAAUCCCUCGGCUUAACCGGGGAACUGCGUCUGAUACUGGUUGGCUUGAAUCCGGGAGAGGGAUGUGGAAUUCCAGGUGUAGCGGUGAAAUGCGUAGAUAUCUGGAGGAACACCGGUGGCGAAGGCGGCAUCCUGGACCGGUAUUGACGCUGAGGAGCGAGAGCCAGGGGAGCAAACGGG